UCUGCUUCUUCUUGCCAACAUCUUGUGGAGUGUAAUACCGGAGCAUCCCGGGUGCAGCGCGGAUCAACCCCAACUCCCUGACUCUGUGUGGGAUUUACCGAGGAAGGGGCUGCAGUCAGUCCCAUCCUCCAGGACCGAGAGGCGCACUUUACGGAGCAGAAUUAAGAGCAAACCGGAGCCUCUCCUCUGGACCAGAGUUACUGAGAGAAAUGUCAUCCGCUCACUAGAGCCACACUAAAACUGACACUGGAAUACAAUCAAAGCAGUUUAAUGGAGAGGAACAAAUAGAACAAAUUAAAAUUCUUGUAUUCAAGGGAGGACAUUCCAGUCGCAAGCAAUUGGAUGAGAGUCUUAUUAGCCCUCGGCAACUAAAGAUGAUGUUUCCAUGGAAACAAAUUGUUCUGCUAUCAAUCACCGGAUGCCUUGCAGCCUGUGCAGAGGAUGUCAUAUUACAAGGGCCAAGAUGGAGGACGGAGCCUACUGACCUCAUUUUGCCGAUCGACUCCCCGGACCAGCAGGCUACCAUCACAUGCGAGGCAGAGGGGAGCCCUCCUCCGCA
Molecule: long non-coding RNA, 559 nt
Organism: Notothenia coriiceps (black rockcod)
Lineage: Eukaryota; Metazoa; Chordata; Actinopteri; Perciformes; Nototheniidae
Exons: 3
Source: RefSeq, a predicted model, not a curated record